GACGAACGCUGGCGGCGUGCUUAACACAUGCAAGUCGAACGGAAAGGCCCUGCUUUUGUGGGGUGCUCGAGUGGCGAACGGGUGAGUAACACGUGAGUAACCUGCCCUUGACUUUGGGAUAACAUCAGGAAACUGGGGCUAAUACCGGAUAGGAGCUCCUGCUGCAUGGUGGGGGUUGGAAAGUUUCGGCGGUUGGGGAUGGAAUCGCGGCUUAUCAGCUUGUUGGUGGGGUAGUGGCUUACCAAGGCUUUGACGGGUAGCCGGCCUGAGAGGGUGACCGGCCACAUUGGGACUGAGAGACGGCCCAGACGCCUACGGGAGGCAGCAGUGGGGAAUAUUGCACAAUGGGCGGAAGCCUGAUGCAGCAACGCCGCGUGCGGGAUGACGGCCUUCGGGUUGUAAACCGCUUUCGCCUGUGACGAAGCGUGAGUGACGGUAAUGGGUAAAGAAGCACCGGCUAACUACGUG
This 468-nucleotide ribosomal RNA is filed under the name uncultured bacterium. RNAcentral's name for it is "partial 16S ribosomal RNA". It matches the Rfam family "Bacterial small subunit ribosomal RNA", at positions 28 to 507 of the family's 1533-position model. The record is from RNAcentral.